Molecule: long non-coding RNA, 2991 nt
Filed under: Nicotiana benthamiana
Lineage: Eukaryota; Viridiplantae; Streptophyta; Magnoliopsida; Solanales; Solanaceae
Description: long non-coding RNA (NBEN_LNC027233)
Source: RNAcentral
UAAAUAAUAACACCUAUGAGCAUGAUGUCUACCCUUUGCAUACAUAAAUGACCCUCCCCUUUUCACUAAAACCCGAUAAAUUAUUACAAGUUAUUACAACCCAGAAUGAAUAAGAAUAGCAAAUUUACAUUAGAAAUUAAACUAUAACCAAUGAGCUUAAUUCAGACUCGAGGUCUAAAAUAUGAGAUGAACCAACUCCAAAGAUCAUGAUUUCCAAAGCCUUUCUCUUAUUUGGGAUGUCUCAAAGUCUCUAAGAGUCUCAAGUGGACUCCAAGCAGUUCUUACACCCCAAAUAUAUUGCACAAUUGAAUUACAAUGCAGUGUGGAAGGGCCAGCCCCUCAAAUGUCCAAGUUUAGAGGGAACUCAAGGUUCCCAAGGCAAGGCUCAUAGAAGGGGGUAAAACUUAGAGUCUAAGGGUAAGUGUAAGUGCAAUAGAGGGGAAAUUAGGGCAGUCCAUGGCAGACUGGUGGUCUUGCCUAGCAAUUGGGGUGCUAGCACACCCCCUGACCAUCCUGUCAACUUUAAAUUGGGGAGUUAAGACCUGUUGAAGGUCAGAUUCAGCCCUGGACAGCCAUUUGGAUGUUGCUAGGCCAUGAACUUUAACUCAGCACGCAUAAGGUGCAUGGGAAUUCAUAAUAGAAGUAGGAUACAAGGAAAAAGAAAGUAAAUGACAUACCCAGCAAUGAGAUAUACCGGCACACCCUCCAGUCUACUUAGAGGUUACGGGUCAAAACUUAGUUCAUGGACAACGAUUCUUGUUGCCAUGCUUUGAGUCCCCACUUACAAACACAUAGGGGGUAAUGGGAUAGGGAGCAAGUGUUCACAAGAAAGAGAAGCAAGCAGUAGCAUAUAGGCUUGUUAAGUUCAAUGUUAAAUUCUACAGAAAAUAGAUAUAGGUAUAAAUACUGCAAGUAAGCACAUUGGGAUGAUGCUGAGAAUUAAAUUAAGACAUGCCAGUUUUAAAGAGACAUUUUGUCAUGGACAACGAUUCUUGUUGCCAUGCUUUGAGUCCCCACUUACAAACACAUAGGGGGUAAUGGGAUAGGGAGCAAGUGUUCACAAGAAAGAGAAGCAAGCAGUAGCAUAUAGGCAUAUUAAGUUCAAUGUUAAACUUUAUAAAAAAUAGACAUGGAUUCAAAGACCGUAAGUAAACAUAUUGGGGUGAUAUUGAGAAUUGAGUUAGGAAUACCAGUUUCAAAGAGACAAGUAAAUAGAAAGCAGUAAUCUUGUAAAAGCCACGGUGCAGACAAGAAGCAAGAAUAACUUUUAAGUGAAAGUUCAGAAGAGAUUGUGAUAUUGCAGUUUUAAGUGUGUUCAAUCAUGUCUGUCCUGUGAAAAAGGUGUCGUGUAUUUAUAGUGUUAUAGUCAUGAGAAAAUAAGGUAAGCAAAUAAUAGAAUCCUGAUUGUCAAUCAGCUACACAAGACUCCCCUUAAUUAGUGGAUUCAGAUUCAAAGAUACAAACUAAUUAAGGACACAAAGUAAACAAGCAUGUGUGCAAAGUAGAAAAUCAAAAGCAAGAACAUGGAAGUUAUUUAAGCACAUGAUCUUGACAGUAUACGGUUUAUGCAAAUAAGGCAAGAGAAUCAUUUGACAGCCAGUAAAUCACAAAAGUCUGAAAUUUGGUAUGAGUGAACCAAGUCGCAAAAAUAAAGAAUGGUUCUACCAAAGCCAAAUCAUCUAGGGAAUCAGUAAAAGAUGGAAUAGAAAAUCAAUCGAGCUUUUAAAGACCAAUUAGAGGGAAAUUCAUCAUAUAUAAGGAGCUUGUGAGUAUGAAAGAAGAUUCUCGUGUAAAUCAGCAUAAAAAUCCAGUAGCAGAGUUUCUCAAAAGUCAGAAUCAUAUGGAACUCCAAAAUUUUCCUAAAAGAGUUGGGGGUUUUGAAAUAAGAAUCCUAGUUCAGGAAAAUCCCAAAAGAGAGGAAUCAAUUGGGUCAAGACAUGUAUAGCAAUGCAACAUGCAAUUACAGUAGAAGGAUUCAAAGCACUCAAUGGCAAAUAGUGAUAAGAACAACAAGAGAAACAUACUCAAAAGAACCUUAAACAAAGCUUAGUAGAAGGCAGACAAAGAACCACAAGAACGUAGCAAUGAAAAUAUAGUAGAAAAACGCAAGAAUCGUCGGAAAAGAUAACACAGUAUGACAAACAUAUAAGAACAUGAUAAACUAUUGUAAAAAAAAACUACAAGACACUAGUAUAGAACACAUAGCAAGGGAAACAUGCAAAAGAUGAUACGAGGACACAUCAGAGUCAAACACAAAGAAGAAAAAUUAUAAAAAAAAUUCUUUAAACAUUUUCCAGAAAACCCUAUCGGAAAAGAAUGGUUUUGAAAGUUAUUUUUAAAGGAAAAUUUAAGGAAAUCGUUUAAAAAUUCACGUACGGCAUGGAUACACAAUAGAUCUAAAAGAAUCGCAGAAAACCUCGUAGGGUUAGGGUUUCAGAGGACCCUAUGAUGAGAAAGGCUUGGAAAAGGUCUGAUCUAAGUCGGAUAAGAUUAGAAUCAGACUCAUGAGGCUAUGAUAUGCUAGAGCAGGUUCGGAGAUGGUUGGAAACCUUGAAUCGGCGAAGGUCUAGGUGAAGGCCUUCGAAGUCUGACCUCGAACCUUCAAAUAUCAGGCACAUGAGGGAAAUAGGAGGCGAAUAUAGGUCGUUCAUGGCCAGAGAGGCCAUAGAUACCGGUAAAUCGGAGGUUGAAGAUGGUGGAGGCGAUUAGGGUUUCAGGAACAUUCGAGAGAGUUUGAGAAGGGUGACGAUAUUCAGAGGCAGCUGCCCUAUUUAAAUGAGAGAGUUAGGUUAGGGUUGGGGGAUUAAAAAGGUAAGGAGUAAUCGUGCCCGUUGAUCAGGUUGAUCAACAACCUAGAUUAAAAGGGGUUUGGGUCAGGUAAUAUAGACGGGUUAAUGGUUGGGGUUAAGUGGGAUUGGGCUGGUCCGGAAUUGGGCUAGAAAUUGGGUCAAUUAGGGGGUUAAAUUAGGCUAUAAUUGAAAUGAUAAUGGG